UGUUUCACUGUGCGAAAGUAGAAAAAAAAUAAAAAAUAAAUCACCAGGACAUAACAAAUACACACCGCACAUUAGGACAGAAUAUCCUUAGCACUGACUAUUUCCAAAUGAGCAAGUUAACAUGGUGGUGUAACGUAACAGGGAAUUAUAUUUGAUGAAGUCGAUGGACUAUGCCCGUUACUUCCGAACGUUGGCUGAAACACAUUUAUGAAAGACGCUGGAACAUGCCACUAUUCAGAUGCACGAGAUUGCCCUUCUGACUACUUGUCAACCGAGUUAAAAGCCCCACUUCAGA
Molecule: long non-coding RNA, 295 nt
Organism: Daphnia pulex (common water flea)
Lineage: Eukaryota; Metazoa; Arthropoda; Branchiopoda; Diplostraca; Daphniidae
Exons: 2
Source: RefSeq, a predicted model, not a curated record